This 481-nucleotide ribosomal RNA is filed under the name uncultured bacterium. RNAcentral describes it as "partial 16S ribosomal RNA". It matches the Rfam family "Bacterial small subunit ribosomal RNA", at positions 29 to 507 of the family's 1533-position model. The record is from RNAcentral.
AUGAACGCUGGCGGCGUGCCUAAUACAUGCAAGUCGCACGCUUCACUUCGGUGAAGAGUGGCGAACGGGUGAGUAAUACAUAAGUAACCUGGCAUCUACAGGGGGAUAACUGAUGGAAACGUCAGCUAAGACCGCAUAGGUGUAGAGAUCGCAUGAACUCUAUAUGAAAAGUGCUACGGGACUGGUAGAUGAUGGACUUAUGGCGCAUUAGCUUGUUGGUAGGGUAACGGCCUACCAAGGCGACGAUGCGUAGCCGACCUGAGAGGGUGACCGGCCACACUGGGACUGAGACACGGCCCAGACUCCUACGGGAGGCAGCAGUAGGGAAUUUUCGGCAAUGGGGGAAACCCUGACCGAGCAACGCCGCGUGAAGGAAGAAGUAAUUCGUUAUGUAAACUUCUGUCAUAGAGGAAGAACGGUGGAUAUAGGGAAUGAUAUCCAACUGACGGUACUCUAUAAGAAAGCCACGGCUAACUACGUG